UUGGGGUUGCGGACAUAUCAUAACGAAGAGGUAUCGUAAUUGAAGAGGUUUGGAAAGACCCACCACAGAAGGUAAUAGUCCUGUAUGUUAAACGAGAAGACUUUAGAUAUGAUCCAGAGUACCACGGGACACGUGAAACCCUGUGGGAAGCAGGGGGGACCACCCUCCAAGGCUAAAUACUACCUAGUGACCGAUAGCGUAUAGGACCGGGAGGGAAAGGGGAAAAGAACCCCGGGAGGGGAGGGAAAUAGAAACUGAAACCCUGCACUUACAAGCUGUGGAAGCACAUUUCUUGUGUGACCGCGUACUGUUUGUAGAACGGGCAAACGAGUUACGUUAAGUAGCAAGGUUAAGCACUUAAGGUGCGGAGCCGUAGCGAAAGCGAGUUGUAACUGAGCGUUCAGUUACUUGACGUAGACCCGAAACCGGGCGACCUACCCAUGAGCAGGAUGAAGCGAAAGUAAAAUUUCGUGGAGGUCCGAACCCACGAGCG
This 493-nucleotide ribosomal RNA is filed under the name Clostridioides difficile. RNAcentral's name for it is "bacterial LSU rRNA". It matches the Rfam family "Bacterial large subunit ribosomal RNA", at positions 292 to 788 of the family's 2925-position model. Lineage: Bacteria; Bacillati; Bacillota; Clostridia; Peptostreptococcales; Peptostreptococcaceae. The record is from RNAcentral.